RNAcentral lists this ribosomal RNA (185 nucleotides) under uncultured bacterium. RNAcentral's name for it is "partial 16S ribosomal RNA". It matches the Rfam family "Bacterial small subunit ribosomal RNA", at positions 1316 to 1500 of the family's 1533-position model. The record is from RNAcentral.
CUACAUGAAGCUGGAAUCGCUAGUAAUCGCGGAUCAGAAUGCCGCGGUGAAUACGUUCCCGGGCCUUGUACACACCGCCCGUCAAACCAUGAGAGUUGGCAACACCCGAAGUCGGUAGUCUAACCGCAAGGAGGACGCCGCCGAAGGUGGGGUUGAUGAUUAGGGUUAAGUCGUAACAAGGUAAC